Molecule: ribosomal RNA, 305 nt
Filed under: uncultured bacterium
Lineage: Bacteria
Description: bacterial SSU rRNA
Rfam family: Bacterial small subunit ribosomal RNA
Source: RNAcentral
GCCUACGGGACGCAGCAGUGGGGAAUAUUGCACAAUGGGGGAAACCCUGAUGCAGCGACGCCGCGUGAGUGAAGAAGUAUUUCGGUAUGUAAAGCUCUAUCAGCAGGGAAGAAAAUGACGGUACCUGACUAAGAAGCCCCGGCUAACUACGUGCCAGCAGCCGCGGUAAUACGUAGGGGGCAAGCGUUAUCCGGAUUUACUGGGUGUAAAGGGAGCGUAGACGGCCGUGCAAGUCUGAUGUGAAAACCCGGGGCUCAACCCCGGGACUGCAUUGGAAACUGUACAGCUAGAGUGCAGGAGGGGUG